Molecule: ribosomal RNA, 528 nt
Filed under: uncultured bacterium
Lineage: Bacteria
Description: partial 16S ribosomal RNA
Rfam family: Bacterial small subunit ribosomal RNA
Source: RNAcentral
UGGGGAAUAUUGCACAAUGGGCGCAAGCCUGAUGCAGCCAUGCCGCGUGUGUGAAGAAGGCCUUCGGGUUGUAAAGCACUUUCAGCGAGGAGGAAGGUGGUGAGCUUAAUACGCUCAUCAAUUGACGUUACUCGCAGAAGAAGCACCGGCUAACUCCGUGCCAGCAGCCGCGGUAAUACGGAGGGUGCAAGCGUUAAUCGGAAUUACUGGGCGUAAAGCGCACGCAGGCGGUUUGUUAAGUCAGAUGUGAAAUCCCCGGGCUCAACCUGGGAACUGCAUUUGAAACUGGCAAGCUAGAGUCUCGUAGAGGGGGGUAGAAUUCCAGGUGUAGCGGUGAAAUGCGUAGAGAUCUGGAGGAAUACCGGUGGCGAAGGCGGCCCCCUGGACGAAGACUGACGCUCAGGUGCGAAAGCGUGGGGCAGCAAACAGGAUUAGAUACCCUGGUAGUCCACGCUGUAAACGAUGUCGAUUUUGGAGGUUGUGCCCUUGAGGCGUGGCUUCCGGAGCUAACGCGUUAAAUCGACCGCC